RNAcentral lists this transfer RNA (72 nucleotides) under Rickettsiales bacterium. Its description in RNAcentral is "tRNA-Trp". It matches the Rfam family "tRNA". Rfam says of the family: Transfer RNA (tRNA) molecules are approximately 80 nucleotides in length. Their secondary structure includes four short double-helical elements and three loops (D, anti-codon, and T loops). The record is from RNAcentral. Lineage: Bacteria; Pseudomonadati; Pseudomonadota; Alphaproteobacteria; Rickettsiales.
AGAAAAAUAGUUUAAUUGGUAAAACAUUGGUCUCCAAAACUAAAAUUAAAGGUUCAAGUCCUUUUUUUUCUG